RNAcentral lists this transfer RNA (71 nucleotides) under Trichechus manatus latirostris (Florida manatee). RNAcentral's name for it is "tRNA-Arg (TCT) (tRNA-Arg-TCT-31-1)". It matches the Rfam family "tRNA". From Rfam's summary of the family: Transfer RNA (tRNA) molecules are approximately 80 nucleotides in length. Their secondary structure includes four short double-helical elements and three loops (D, anti-codon, and T loops). Lineage: Eukaryota; Metazoa; Chordata; Mammalia; Sirenia; Trichechidae. The record is from Rfam by way of RNAcentral.
GUAUUGGUGGUUCAGUGGUAGAAUUCUCACCUUCUAUGUGGGAGACCCCGGUUCAAUUCCUGGUCAAUGCA